This 253-nucleotide ribosomal RNA is filed under the name uncultured bacterium. RNAcentral's name for it is "partial 16S ribosomal RNA". It matches the Rfam family "Bacterial small subunit ribosomal RNA", at positions 524 to 776 of the family's 1533-position model. The record is from RNAcentral.
UACGUAGGGGGCAAGCGUUGUCCGGAAUCAUUGGGCGUAAAGAGCGUGUAGGCGGCCAGAUAAGUCCGCUGUGAAAGUCGGGGGCUCAACCCUCGAAUGCCGGUGGAUACUGUCGGGCUAGAGUGCGGAAGAGGCGAGUGGAAUUCCUGGUGUAGCGGUGAAAUGCGCAGAUAUCAGGAGGAACACCUAUUGCGAAGGCAGCUCGCUGGGACGUAACUGACGCUGAGACGCGAAAGCGUGGGGAGCAAACAGG